UACGAAGGGUGCAAGCGUUACUCGGAAUUACUGGGCGUAAAGCGUGCGUAGGUGGUUCGUUAAGUCUGAUGUGAAAGCCCUGGGCUCAACCUGGGAAUGGCAUUGGAUACUGGCGACCUAGAGUGCGGUAGAGGGGUGUGGAAUUCCCGGUGUAGCAGUGAAAUGCGUAGAUAUCGGGAGGAACAUCUGUGGCGAAGGCGAGUCUCUGGACAGUUACUGACGCUGAGACGCGAAAGCGUGGGGAGCGAACAGG
This 253-nucleotide ribosomal RNA is filed under the name uncultured bacterium. RNAcentral's name for it is "partial 16S ribosomal RNA". It matches the Rfam family "Bacterial small subunit ribosomal RNA", at positions 524 to 776 of the family's 1533-position model. The record is from RNAcentral.